GUGGGGAAUAUUGGACAAUGGGCGAAAGCCUGAUCCAGCCAUGCCGCGUGUGUGAAGAAGGUCUUCGGAUUGUAAAGCACUUUAAGUUGGGAGGAAGGGCAGUAAGUUAAUACCUUGCUGUUUUGACGUUACCGACAGAAUAAGCACCGGCUAACUUCGUGCCAGCAGCCGCGGUAAUACGAAGGGUGCAAGCGUUAAUCGGAAUUACUGGGCGUAAAGCGCGCGUAGGUGGUUUUGUAAGUUGGAGGUGAAAUCCCCGGGCUCAACCUGGGAACUGCAUACAAAACUGCAUGACUAGAGUACGGUAGAGGGUAGUGGAAUUUCCUGUGUAGCGGUGAAAUGCGUAGAUAUAGGAAGGAACACCAGUGGCGAAGGCGACUACCUGGACUGAUACUGACACUGAGGUGCGAAAGCGUGGGGAGCAAACAGGAUUAGAAACCCCUGUAGUCC
This 450-nucleotide ribosomal RNA is filed under the name uncultured bacterium. Its description in RNAcentral is "partial 16S ribosomal RNA". It matches the Rfam family "Bacterial small subunit ribosomal RNA", at positions 354 to 796 of the family's 1533-position model. The record is from RNAcentral.